AGUGGGUCAGCCAGCAUAAACUUGUUGGUUACGUGUCAAGAAAGUACUACAAGUUUCCUCUCCACUUCUCAGGCAAGAGCGCAAUGAGUCAAGUGUCCAAGACUAAGCCCUAAGCUCUAUCUCUCUCUCUCUCGUGCCCCUCUUCCAUUCCCCUCGUGCGCUUCGCCUCGCAUCGCUUCUGUUGUGUGCCCAUCUUGCUCAUCGGCUUUCUUUCUGGAAGAAGAAACAGAAUGAGUGUUGCAGUGGAAUUGUUAGCUACUCGAAACCUUAGCUAUUUGCAGUUAAAGAGAGCUUCUUUAUCUUCUUCAAAGUCCUUGUGUCCUUCUUCGUCUCUAAGGCUCGAACGUUUGCUUAAACCUAGGGGUUACAGAGUUGCGAUUGAAGUUCCUGCUGUUUUUACUCCUAAAGGCCUAGGGAUUGGGAUUGGUUUUCCUUCUCUCCAGCGAAGGAAUUCGUUGAACCGAUCGAUUGUGUCAUUUGCUGCCUCCCACGAAGAAUCGAAGCAUUCAGAAAUUGAAGUGGACAAGGAAAACUAUGGUGAUGAGUUGGGAGCCGAAGAAUCACAAGAAGUUUGGAAAGAGACGCUAGCUUCUUUCAAAGAACAAGCCUUGAAGAUGCAAAGUGUGUCUCAAGAAGCAUACGACGUAUACUCCAAGAAAGCAAUGGUUAUUUUGAAAGAAACAUCGGAGCAGUUGAAAAUUAAAGCAGACAAGGCUAAAAGUGAUCUGGCCGUGCUAGCUAAGGAGGUGACCGAAGAGAGUAAAGAAUUCCUAUCAAUAGCUGCUCAGAAUUCCCCUGAACCAGUGAAGGAGGUUGUGGAAACGUUUGCUUCCUCGACUGAUGAUCUGAAUGAUUUUUCUGGAAUUCAUGACUUCCAUCUUGGAAUACCUUAUGGGCAAAGCUUACAGAGCACCCAACUGGUUGAGCCUCAAAGACAUGUCCAAGCUCUUCUGUUUAGAUGCUUCUCAUCAGUUAACAUGAAGAUGAAAGAAAUAUAUGAUUCUAUGAAUUUUUCCCCGUUAAAUGAAUUCAAUGUUUUUCACGGAUUGCUUUUGCUCUGCAGGUUUGCUUCUUUCUGUUGGUGGCUUUCUUUCCUUUAUGUUGAUGGGCAGCAUUUCUGCUGUUAGGUUUGGUGUCAUUCUUGGUGGUGCUCUUUUGACUUUAAGCAUAUUGAGCUUGAGAUCAUACAAAAAGGGACAACCAUGUACUUCAGUUGUGAAAGGACAGGCAGGAAUAGCAGCCCUAAUCUUUCUUAGGGAGAUAAGAUUGCUGUUUCAGGUAACACUUACACAAGAAAUGCUAUUAUUCAUGUAUCCUUCGCUACAUCAUAUAUUUGAGGCACACUAAUCUUCUUUUAACCUCUAGUUCUUUCUUUCUUGGCAGAAAGCUUCUAUUUUGACCUUUUUCUCAACCGUCAUCAGGUUUAUAAUUCUCUCAUGUUUCUUAAUUUUUGCAUUCUUGUAGUCAAUUUACUACCUUCAAACAGCAAAUCCUUGCUUGGUGUUUGGAUUGCUGAUGGCAAGUUUAGCUUAUAGUAGGAUUUUCAAGUGUGAAAGUAGCUAUUAGGACUAAAGAUGCAGGAGGUUUUAGAUUGGGAGAUAAGAGCUAGAAGUUAAAAGAAUUUGCACUCAAGGUUGAGAUUGCAGGAAUUGUCUGUGAUGGAUGUUUUAUUCUCUAAAUAGAACUUACUCAUAUUUAUACAAUAGCUGCUUGUUUUAUAAUAUGUCAGUUUGUAUAUCUGAUAACUUGUUGUGCUUUGCAGUGGCGCAAUGGUUGCAUUCUUUCUUUAUAGAAUUAAUGUGAAUGGUAAGCAGAACGAAGGAUCAGACAUGGGACAAGGAGCUGAAAAUUGAUGAAUUUGUUGCAGGUUGGUUGGAUUGACAUGUGCCCAUAGAGAUAUGAACACAAAAUGUAAGCUUUCAUCACAAAUACACAACACACACCACAAAAUAAUAAUAAUAACUAAUAAACAUUCAAGUAUUAAUAUAUAAAAACUUGAAUAGUCUUUUAAUGUCUCAAAACUAAACUCAAGCAAUUAUAAAAUAACUCCUCUUCAAUCUUCACCAAAAGUAACAUUAUAAUUUUCUUCAUCUUCUUCUACACCUUC
RNAcentral lists this unclassified non-coding RNA (2107 nucleotides) under Hevea brasiliensis (rubber tree). The record is from RNAcentral. Lineage: Eukaryota; Viridiplantae; Streptophyta; Magnoliopsida; Malpighiales; Euphorbiaceae.